Molecule: ribosomal RNA, 750 nt
Filed under: Pamborus pradierii
Lineage: Eukaryota; Metazoa; Arthropoda; Insecta; Coleoptera; Carabidae
Description: partial 16S ribosomal RNA
Rfam family: Bacterial large subunit ribosomal RNA (bases 1-531)
Source: RNAcentral
GGCCGCAGUAUAUUAACUGUGCAAAGGUAGCAUAAUCAUUAGUUUUUUAAUUGAAAGCUUGUAUGAAAGGUUGGACGAGGUAAAUUCUGUCUCUGAUUAAAUUAAAUUAGAAUUUAAUUUUUAAGUUAAAAAGCUUAAAUUUUUUUAAAAGACGAGAAGACCCUAUAGAGCUUUAUAAUUUAUUAAAUAGGAUUAAUUUAGUUUUGUUAGUAUUUUUUUUUGUAAAUUAUUUUAUUGGGGUAAUAGAAAGAUUUAAAUAAUUCUUUUUUUUUGUAAACAUAAAUUUAUGAAUUUAAUGAUCCAAUUAUAUUGAUUAAAAGAUUAAGUUACCUUAGGGAUAACAGCGUAAUUUUUUUAGAGAGUUCAUAUCGAUAAAAAAGUUUGCGACCUCGAUGUUGGAUUAAAGAUUAUUUUAGGUGCAGAAGCUUAAAAUUUUGGUCUGUUCGACCAUUAAAUCUUUACAUGAUCUGAGUUCAGACCGGUGUAAGCCAGGUCGGUUUCUAUCUUUAUUUAAUUAUAAUAUUUUAGUACGAAAGGACCAAAUAUUAAAUAUAUUUAUAUUUUAAUUUAGAAUAUUAUUAAUAUAAAUUAUUUUGGCAGAUUAGUGCAAUGAAUUUAGAAUUCAUUUAUGUAAAUUUUUACAAAUAAUAUUGUUUUAUAUGGAUGUAAUGUUUUCAGUUAUUUGCAUAUUAUUAUUAGUUAUUUGUGUAUUGGUAGGAGUUGCUUUUUUAACAUUAUUGGAGCGUAAAG